AUAUCAUUAAGCGGAGGAAAAGAAAUUAACUAAGAUUGCCUCAGUAACGGCGAGUGAAGCGGCAAAAGCCCAAACUGGAAAUCUUCACACUGCGUGUGACGAAUUGUAAUCUAAAGGUGGGUCGCUCACCGGGUGGAGGCGCAGAAGUUCCCACGAACGGGACGCCAGAGAGGGUGACAGCCCCGUAUGUGGUGCCUUUGCCUAACGAGCCCCUUCCUACGAGUCGGGUUGUUUUGAAUUGCAGCCCUAAGCGGGAGAUAGACUUCUUCUAAGGCUAAAUAUCUAUGGGAAACCGAUAGCGAACAAGUACUGUGAAGGAAAGAUGAAAAGAACUUUGAAAAGAGAGUCAAAAGACUUGAAAUCGUUGAGAAGGAAGCGGUAGAAAUUUAUUCUUCGGCGGAGGGCGGUGGCGGCUGCCUAACCAUUGACGGGCGUCAGCACUGCAAAGGCUGUGUUUGUCACUUGGGGAAGCGGCCGUUUUGCUCUCUGUCGUGAGGCAAGAUGGGGUCGUGCUCCCGCAGAGGCUUCUCCAGCCUGGCCUGAUUCGUCAGGCAGCUGGGGUUUGCUGGCGGGGUUGCGGCCUGAGGGUGCUUCGUGCGAUCUUGCCAAAAUGGUUUUUACCGA
Molecule: ribosomal RNA, 624 nt
Filed under: uncultured fungus
Lineage: Eukaryota; Fungi
Description: eukaryotic LSU rRNA
Rfam family: Eukaryotic large subunit ribosomal RNA
Source: RNAcentral